UACAGGCUUAACACAUGCAAGUCGAGGGGAAACGACAUCGAAAGCUUGCUUUUGAUGGGCGUCGACCGGCGCACGGGUGAGUAACGCGUAUCCAACCUGCCCACCACUUGGGGAUAACCUUGCGAAAGUAAGACUAAUACCCAAUGACGUCUCUAGAAGACAUCUGAAAGAGAUUAAAGAUUUAUCGGUGAUGGAUGGGGAUGCGUCUGAUUAGCUUGUUGGCGGGGUAACGGCCCACCAAGGCGACGAUCAGUAGGGGUUCUGAGAGGAAGGUCCCCCACAUUGGAACUGAGACACGGUCCAAACUCCUACGGGAGGCAGCAGUGAGGAAUAUUGGUCAAUGGACGAGAGUCUGAACCAGCCAAGUAGCGUGCAGGAUGACGGCCCUAUGGGUUGUAAACUGCUUUUAUAAGGGAAUAAAGUGAGUCUCGUGAGACUUUUUGCAUGUACCUUAUGAAUAAGGACCGGCUAAUUCCGUGCCAGCAGCCGCGGUAAUACGGAAGGUCCGGGCGUUAUCCGGAUUUAUUGGGUUUAAAGGGAGCGUAGGCCGGAGAUUAAGCGUGUUGUGAAAUGUAGACGCUCAACGUCUGCACUGCAGCGCGAACUGGUUUCCUUGAGUACGCACAAAGUGGGCGGAAUUCGUGGUGUAGCGGUGAAAUGCUUAGAUAUCACGAAGAACUCCGAUUGCGAAGGCAGCUCACUGGAGCGCAACUGACGCUGAAGCUCGAAAGUGCGGGUAUCGAACAGGAUUAGAUACCCUGGUAGUCCGCACGGUAAACGAUGGAUGCCCGCUGUUGGUCUGAAUAGGUCAGCGGCCAAGCGAAAGCAUUAAGCAUCCCACCUGGGGAGUACGCCGGCAACGGUGAAACUCAAAGGAAUUGACGGGGGCCCGCACAAGCGGAGGAACAUGUGGUUUAAUUCGAUGAUACGCGAGGAACCUUACCCGGGCUUGAAUUGCAGAGGAAGGAUUUGGAGACAAUGACGCCCUUCGGGGCCUCUGUGAAGGUGCUGCAUGGUUGUCGUCAGCUCGUGCCGUGAGGUGUCGGCUUAAGUGCCAUAACGAGCGCAACCCCUCUCCUUAGUUGCCAUCAGGUCAAGCUGGGCACUCUGGGGACACUGCCACCGUAAGGUGUGAGGAAGGUGGGGAUGA
This 1150-nucleotide ribosomal RNA is filed under the name uncultured bacterium. RNAcentral describes it as "bacterial SSU rRNA". It matches the Rfam family "Bacterial small subunit ribosomal RNA", at positions 41 to 1182 of the family's 1533-position model. The record is from RNAcentral.